AUGGACUCAUUGCAUGGAAAGGCUCUUUUCUCUAAAGCUUUCAAAUUCCACAAUGAAGUUUCAGAGGAAACACAGAAUAUCCUAAUUCGGGGUGUACCAUACCAGGUGUAUAAAGAUGUAAAUAAAUGCAAUACUUGACAUGAAAGAAUGAGUCUGGUAUUGCUAUUGAUGCUGGAGGGCACCGUGACCUCUGCACUCAAAAUCUGGAGGUGGGGACGGGUGGAAAUGAGCAGUGCCUAGAAGUGCAGUUCUAGAAAUAAAUCAGUAACUAACAGGGAGGAUUGCUUCUUG
RNAcentral lists this long non-coding RNA (291 nucleotides) under Sus scrofa (pig). Its description in RNAcentral is "lncRNA (ENSSSCG00055002713.1)". The record is from RNAcentral. Lineage: Eukaryota; Metazoa; Chordata; Mammalia; Artiodactyla; Suidae.